GGAAGGUUGACCGAGUGGUUUAUGGUGCUUGUCUUGAAAACAAGUGUGUCAGAAAUGGCACCGGCGGUUCGAAUCCGCCACCUUCCGCCA
This 90-nucleotide transfer RNA is filed under the name Candidatus Nomurabacteria bacterium. RNAcentral's name for it is "tRNA-Ser". It matches the Rfam family "tRNA". From Rfam's summary of the family: Transfer RNA (tRNA) molecules are approximately 80 nucleotides in length. The record is from RNAcentral. Lineage: Bacteria; Candidatus Nomuraibacteriota.